This 450-nucleotide ribosomal RNA is filed under the name uncultured bacterium. Its description in RNAcentral is "partial 16S ribosomal RNA". It matches the Rfam family "Bacterial small subunit ribosomal RNA", at positions 354 to 796 of the family's 1533-position model. The record is from RNAcentral.
GUGGGGAAUCUUCCGCAAUGGACGAAAGUCUGACGGAGCAACGCCGCGUGAGUGAAGAAGGUUUUCGGAUCGUAAAGCUCUUUCGUUAGGGACGAACGUGCUCUUUGUGAAUAAUGAGGAGUAAUGACGGUACCUAAAUAAGAAGCCACGGCUAACUACGUGCCAGCAGCCGCGGUAAUACGUAGGUGGCAAGCGUUGUCCGGAAUUAUUGGGCGUAAAGCGCGCGCAGGCGGGAUAUCAAGUCUGUCUUAAAAGUGCGAGGCUCAACCUCGUGAGGGGACAGAAACUGGUAUUCUUGAGUGUCGGAGAGGAAAGUGGAAUUCCAAGUGUAGCGGUGAAAUGCGUAGAGAUUUGGAAGAACACCAGUGGCGAAGGCGACUUUCUGGACUGUAACUGACACUGAGGCACGAAAGCGUGGGUAGCAAACAGGAUUAGAUACCCUGGUAGUCC